This 494-nucleotide ribosomal RNA is filed under the name uncultured bacterium. Its description in RNAcentral is "partial 16S ribosomal RNA". It matches the Rfam family "Bacterial small subunit ribosomal RNA", at positions 28 to 507 of the family's 1533-position model. The record is from RNAcentral.
GACGAACGCUGGCGGCGUGCUUAACACAUGCAAGUCGAACGGAAAGGCCUGCUUUCCCUUGUGGAUUGCGGGUACUCGAGUGGCGAACGGGUGAGUAACACGUGAGUGAUCUGCCCCCAACUUGGGUAUAAGCCUGGGAAACUGGGUCUAAUUCCCGAUAGGACUGCAGGGUGGUGCCUGUGGUGGAAAACGAUUUUCUAGUGGUUGGGGAUGAGCUCGCGGCCUAUCAGCUUGUUGGUGGGGUAAUGGCCUACCAAGGCGGCGACGGGUAGCCGGCCUGGGAGGGUGGACGGGCACAUUGGAACGGAGAUACGGCCCAGACUACUACGGGAGGCAGCAGUGGGGAAUAUGGCGCAGUGAGCGGAAGCCUGAUGCAGCGACGCCGCGUGGGGGAUGACGGCCUUCGGGUUGUAAACUCCUUUCGACCGCGAGGAAGCCACCUGGUUGGAAGGGUGGUGACGGUAGUGGUAGAAGAAGCACCGGCUAACUACGUG